UAUGUAGGGCGCAAGCGUUGUCCGGAAUUAUUGGGCGUAAAGAGCUCGUAGGUGGCUUGUCGCGUCUGUCGUGAAAGCCCGGGGCUUAACUCCGGGUCUGCGGUGGAUACGGGCAGGCUAGAGGUAUGCAGGGGAGAACGGAAUUCCUGGUGUAGCGGUGAAAUGCGCAGAUAUCAGGAGGAACACCGAUGGCGAAGGCAGGUCUCUGGGCCACUACUGACGCUGAGAAGCGAAAGCAUGGGGAGCGAACAGG
Molecule: ribosomal RNA, 253 nt
Filed under: uncultured bacterium
Lineage: Bacteria
Description: partial 16S ribosomal RNA
Rfam family: Bacterial small subunit ribosomal RNA
Source: RNAcentral